Molecule: ribosomal RNA, 299 nt
Filed under: Hymenobacter nivis
Lineage: Bacteria; Pseudomonadati; Bacteroidota; Cytophagia; Cytophagales; Hymenobacteraceae
Description: partial 23S ribosomal RNA
Rfam family: Bacterial large subunit ribosomal RNA
Source: RNAcentral
AACGUCGUGAGACAGUUCGGUCCCUAUCUGUGGUGGGCGUUGGAUAUUUGACAGGACCUGUCCUUAGUACGAGAGGACCGGGAUGGACCAGCCGCUGGUGCGCCGGUUGUACCGCCAGGUGCAGCGCCGGGUAGCUACGCUGGGAGGAGAUAAGCGCUGAAAGCAUCUAAGUGCGAAACUCACCUGGAGAUGAGAUAUCCCAAUUGGAAGGGCCGUGGGAGACGACCACGUGGAUAGGCGGCAGGUGAAAAACCAGAAAUGGAAUAGCCGAGCCGUACUAAUGGCCCGAGGGCUUCGCA